GCCAUAUACUCCCCCUCCCCUACUAAAAGCCCAAAUAAAAACCCUUCCUUUUAGCUUUUCAAGGAGUUUGGGAUUUGAGCGUUAGCUGCCGUCUCUCCUUACUCAGUGCUGUGCAAUAAUAAAAUCCUACUUCCACUACACCUGGUGUCAGAGAUUGGCUUGCUGCACAACGGGACUGGCUGGAAAUAAUGGGUACCUGGCAGCCCUCUGGGCUCCGUUUGUUUGGAAGUUGCCGCCACGCCCUAGCCAAAUUUUGAAAAACUUCUUAUUAAAUACCUGGUUACUUACUUACAUGAUACAGGCCUAACUUCAGGAGCCCACCAGCAUCACCGCCUUAUUAAAAGACUGGUUCAAUGAGAUGAAACGACCUAUGCCCCAUUUCAGCAGGAAGUAGCUAGAUCGGUUGCCACCCCAAAUCCCUCAAGAUUGAGGGACGGACAUAAAAUAGGGGGGAGUUGAUAUCGACCCUGAUAUCAGUUUCCCCACAUUAAACCCAGCAUAUAUGGGGUUAAAACCCAAACACUCAUUCCCUGCUUACUCUCUGGCUUCCUGGCUCCAGAAUCCACUAUCCUCCAUGGAGACAGACACCGUCAAAGACAAGCACCUGGACCAUCUCCUCCCCACAAAGAGAUACAGACUGGUGGGAAAGCUUCUGACCAGCAAGGUCAUGAACUCCCUCCUGUCUGCAAGUGUCUCAAGGCCAGAGACAGGCUGGUGGGAAAGCUCCGACCAGCAAGGCCAUAUGCUCCCCCUCCCCUACCUAAAGCCCCAAAUAAAAACCCUUCCUUUUAGCUUUUUCGGGGAGUUUGGGAUUUCAGCAUUAGCUGCCCUCUCUCCUUGCUCAGUGCUGUGCAAAAAUAAAGUUCCUACUUUCUUCCACCACACCCGGUGUCAGAGAUCGGCUUGCUGUGCAACGGGUGAGCGAACUCACUUCAGGUUCCAUAUCAGUCACACCAUGCUGUGGUAGGUGUCCCACAUAAAAUAGAGGAAGAUGGGCAUGGAUGUUAUCUCAGGGCCAAUCUUCCUCAAAAAAAAAAAAAAAUAAAGGAAACUAAAGCUCAGAGAGAAGUGACUGCCCUCAGACAUCACAGUUAAGAGGAGGGAUUCGAACCCAUAACCCUGCCUCCCUCCUUGUUCAGCCCCCAACCUACACUGCCUCUUUCCACCAUUAACAAUACCAGCCUUAUGCACGGAGGAUGAGGAAUCUGCGGGUUGAAGUGGUUUGGAAGGGCCUGGUGGACCAGCUGGGAGGGACCAGGGAAGGGUCUCCAGUCCGUAAGUCCCACGUGGAACCUUCUAGGGCCCGGGGAGGGCCAGGCUGCCACCUGAGUCACCCGCGUCCUCUUCAUCACUGGGGCAGCUCCAAUUUCCUGGGCCCUCCAUCCGUGCCGGGACCUUCGAGUCUCAAAGCUCCCAGGGCUGGGUCCUGUUCUCGUCCUCAUCUUCCAAGUGUGUAGAACCAGAGCUCAGAGAAACUCAUCAACUUGCCCGAGGACACACAGCUGACAAAUGGCUGAGCCUGAAGCAAACUCAAUUCCAAUGCCAGGUGAUAGAGAGGAAGUGUGAGAAAUCAGGCUGGCGUGAAAGUCAUCGUCCAGCCCGCUCCGAGUCCUUACCUCCAUGAGCGGAUGGGGGGAGUCACUUCUUGUCUUCCCACUAUCUUGGCCAAGACAACAGAUUCUCAAGACAGACCAAUGCCGACGUCAGCCAAGGAACCAGCCUUGUGCAGUUGGCUGUGACCUUGGAGAUGAGGUCAUGAGGACAGGCAUGGCUGUCUUGACCCUCCUG
Equus caballus (horse) is the source of this 1788-nucleotide long non-coding RNA. NCBI's taxonomy places the organism in Eukaryota, Metazoa, Chordata, Mammalia, Perissodactyla, Equidae. The record is from Ensembl.